UAGCAAUUUUGUUAGAUAAAAAUAAUUAUUUUAAAAAUAAAAAGCCGCGCAAUGCGUUUGGUCGUCAUUACCGAAAGUUAAAAAAUAUCGUUAGGAAAAAUCGAGCGCUAUACGAGACAUUUUCACUCACUUUGUGAAUACUCGAACAUUUUGUAGGCUGACCUGAAGUUAUUUUGUUUGAGUUGAUCCAAUGCAAAGGGCUUUAGUAGUGAGUUGACGAUAUUUCACGAUUAGAGUAUUACACAUUUUGUCAAUAGAGAUUUAAAGACUAACAUGAAAUCACCUCGACCUUUCCGAUUCAAUUGGCAGACAACAGAGAGAGUAGUAACACACCCGUCACCCAAGGAGGACUGUGGGAGCUGUGGUUUAAGCUCAGGUCUAAACUUACCCAGUACUAGAAGCUUGGUAAGGAGAUGAUGAUGAUGAAGAAGGACAUCUCUAGUGAUGCAAGAGAUUGGAAUAUACUGUUUGACGAAGAUAAAUACCCUGCCCAAUUCCCUCAGCAUACCUACAAUGCUAGAGCUCAGUGACCAAGUGGAAAGGAAGAAAAAACCAAAAGAGAGCUAAUUCCCGGGAUCACUGGUGUUGACUGGAUUGUGAAGAUCUUUAUGGUGGAUAUUUACUGCAGAGUCCUGUGGCACCACAUAAUUCUUUUCAACUACUUUGGUCUAAAGAACGAAGACGGUAGUACUGCAAGAGAUUGCUUUGAAAUCUCUUCAAUGUUUCUAAUCAACGGUUCAUCUAAGUGUUGCAUGCACAAAACAUGGUUCAAGCUAUAACCGCGGAAUCACAAGUACUGGUAACUGAGAUGCCUUCUAACAACCAGAAGCCCAGAAGAAACUGCUCUUUCAAGACAUACAGUUUAAGGGCAUAAUUGUUUUAAUUUUAUCUGCUUUUACUGUAGUUGAACUGCAACUAUCAUAAUCUAACAGACAUGAUGGACAGUUGAGCUGAAGAUUACAUAUAUAUUUGGCUUUCAUUUAUA
Molecule: long non-coding RNA, 985 nt
Organism: Bolinopsis microptera
Lineage: Eukaryota; Metazoa; Ctenophora; Tentaculata; Lobata; Bolinopsidae
Exons: 2
Source: RefSeq, a predicted model, not a curated record